This 253-nucleotide ribosomal RNA is filed under the name uncultured bacterium. Its description in RNAcentral is "partial 16S ribosomal RNA". It matches the Rfam family "Bacterial small subunit ribosomal RNA", at positions 524 to 776 of the family's 1533-position model. The record is from RNAcentral.
UACGGAGGGUGCGAGCGUUGUCCGGAAUCACUGGGCGUAAAGGGCGCGUAGGCGGUCCGUUAAGUUGCUGGUGAAAUCCCGGGGCUCAACUUCGGGGCGGCCGGCAAGACUGGCGGGCUCGAGCACGGUAGAGGCAGAUGGAAUUCCCGGUGUAGCGGUGGAAUGCGUAGAUAUCGGGAAGAAUACCGGUGGCGAAGGCGUUCUGCUGGGCCGUUGCUGACGCUGAGGCGCGACAGCGUGGGGAGCAAACAGG